UUUGAUGUAGGCCCAAUAGUCAUACCACCACGCACCUUUUUUUCUUCCAAGAAAAACAACCUGUUUCCCUUGAAAAAAUACAAUGCACUAUGCUCUUAUCUCGUUAGAUCCCUCACCAGGUUCCUCUCAUCCACAAGCGCCAUUUCUUUCGAUUUGCUGCGAGCGAUUGAGAGAUGUCGUUGCUGGCAUCAAGUAAUCGAGCCCCAUGCUAUCCUGAAUCUAGUUGCCACUUAUUUUCUUUGAAUUUCUCUUCCUUGGGUGGUGGCUUAGGUGUCCGGAUGAGUGCGUGCAUGCGUUUGAUGCAGUCUCUACGGGUGCGGAUCCUCACUUACCUCGUUGACACUGGCAACACGGCUACGGUGAGCGCCAGGCAGAAAGCGCCGGCUGUGCUGCUCAACCUCGUCUAGCGGCCGUGGCAGAGAUGCUGAAGGUUGGGGGCGCGGAGGAGACGGUGGGGGAUCUCACGGAGGAUGGGACGCCGGUUCGUGUAUUUGCAGAACGAAAUCGUGCUACUGACUUACUGAGUUGUUACCCUCCACAUUUGUCGUGCUGUCGGACUCAUAUUAAAUUGUGGCCUUCUUUUUUGCAAAAAAAAAGCGACAACAUCUGACCUUUGUACUCUUGGUCUUCCAGCCUUUUUUUUACUUUGCUCCAGCAGAUUUCCUGUUCUUGCGGACAUCUUUUCCCUUCCUUUCUGUCAUACUUGCCACAUUUCAUUCUUCCUCUUGAGUCAUUUGAUAGUACAAUAGAUCUCAGUCUCCUCUUUUUGUCACUUUGUAGUUCACAUGAUGAUAACAGUUGGUCGUGGUGCCCAUCUUUGUUUACUGUAGCCCCAUUUCUAUCAUGUGGUUCCUCUUUCGCAAGCACCAGUUUACAUGACAUUUUGGUGAGAAGACAUUGGGCACCGUCUGACUUUGAGUUUUCGUGCCACAUGAAGCAGUUGGAUGUGGUAGUUGUGCAGUGGCAGUUCUUGCUAACUUCGAUAUUUGUCGGUGUCGAGUUGAGCAGCGAGUCUCCCAUUGCAUCAUCGUACCAGCUUCAUUUUUUCUUGGUGGUGUCAAGACUCAGGCAUUGAUUUCGUCCCAUUGGUUAUGUCCGUGUCGAGUUGAGCGGCAAGUCUCCCAUUGCAUCAUCGUACCAUCUUCAUUUUUCUUUGUGGUGUCAAGACUCAGGCAUUGAUUUCGACCCACUUGCUCCCUUCAAUUUCUUGUUUUUGGCUGAUUUAUUGGGCAUGUGUUUUAUGUGGACGACUGGUCUUGUUUAUAUUGGUUGAUGUGGCUAACACCGUGUUGAGUCCUGAUCCUAUAUUUGUCUUGCAUGCAUCUGUCCGGUUUUGGAUUGUCAGCAUGUGAGUUGUACUUACGUAUCCUUAUAUGCUUGGAUAUCCUUAUUUGUUGACCCAUCAUUGAGAAAGAAAACUA
This is a long non-coding RNA of Triticum dicoccoides, 1421 nucleotides long. RefSeq lists it as uncharacterized. Lineage: Eukaryota; Viridiplantae; Streptophyta; Magnoliopsida; Poales; Poaceae. The transcript is spliced from 3 exons. The record is from RefSeq and is a predicted model, not a curated record.